GACGAACGCUGGCGGCGUGCUUAACACAUGCAAGUCGAACGAAGUGGCGAACGGGUGAGUAACGCGUAAUCAACCUGCCCUUCAGAGGGGGACAACAGUUGGAAACGACUGCUAAUACCGCAUACUGAAGGAGGGGAUUGCUUCUGAUUAGCUAGUUGGGGGGGGAACGGCCCACCAAGGCGAUGAUCAGUAGCCGGGCGGAGAGGAGGAACGGCCACAUUGGGACUUAGACACGGCCCAGACUCCUACGGGAGGCAGCAGUGGGGAAUCUGCCGAAAUGGGGGGAACCCUGACCGAGCAACGCCGCGUGAGUGAAGAAGGUUUUCGGAUCGUAAAGCUCUGUUGUUAAGGAAGCGGUACUUAACCAGAAAGGGACGGCUAACUACGUGCCAGCAGCCGCGGUAAUAC
RNAcentral lists this ribosomal RNA (408 nucleotides) under uncultured bacterium. RNAcentral's name for it is "partial 16S ribosomal RNA". It matches the Rfam family "Bacterial small subunit ribosomal RNA", at positions 28 to 526 of the family's 1533-position model. The record is from RNAcentral.